AGGUACUUGUUCUCUUCACUCUUCGGGAUUCUAUAAGAGAUGUCCAGCAAGCAGCAGAGCUGGGCUUACGAUGUUGUACCAAGCAUGGAAGGAAGCACUGCAAAGCUGACAUCAGCACAAAUACCUGUGGAAACUGCAGGGGGCAAGGCAAUGAGGUGCUACUUCAAGUAGGAUGUGACCAUUUGACAUAUCCUUGCUGACAAUUGAACAAAAUGCUCUAAUACGGCAAAGAAUGAGAAGACACAACGGUGGAGCCAGAACGAGCACAGAAUGAGCGCCACACUGGUGGGCAUCAGGACCUUCCUCUAGACCUUCCUUCCUCUAGACCAUCAGGACCUUCCUCUCCAUGUGACAUUUAGGUGAAGGCUGAAAGCUGAGUAAGAGCUAGGCCUACACGAACACUCUAGAUUUCUUUUCACAUACCAGGAAGGGCCCCUGAGACACGGAGGAGAAAGGUGUUGUACUUGAGACAUCGUUUUAACUGACACCUUUGUUAUUAUUCCAGGCAGACCUGUUCACUUUAUUAUCUGGUCUUCUAUGAGACCACCUACUCGUGUUAUUGUGCAAAUUGAUGUCAUCCAAUUAAGUCUUCUCUUUCUUUUACUGUGCUUAAAUGAUGACUUUGGCUACUUGAAGUUUCACUGGAGCAAAUUAGCUGUGUUGGAUGCGGACAGCGGGAUGGUGCCCAGAUGGCAGUGGCAAGCGAGCUCCUGUUUCACUGUGGUCCUCACGGCAGCAGAAAGGGAAUGUUUCUCUAUUAUCCAUUCUUUGUGGAUUAUCCUUGCUUGCUUUCUUCUCUUUUCUUUUCAUGAGUAAUCGGUAGCUGGCUUCAUUUGUCUUCCUUCCUCCCUAAAUUUUCAUUUAGCCAAAUUCUCCUCCAGGCUUUAAAAAUCACCUUCUAUAUCCAAAAACCAAAGGGGUCCUAUUUAAUUCUCUGAGGGAUGAGGCUGUCUUUGGUUGUGGACCUGCUUAUUCAUAUUGGAGGCGGCAGGGAGAACUCGCAUCUUGUGGUUUCUGGCAGCCCAAAGGAAGGGGUUCUUGUCCAGGCUUCUGUAUAGAAAACUGGACACAUAGCAAGGUUCCCAAAGUCGUCCCAGCCAGAGCCAAAUCCUAGAGACAUGGGCUGGGAGAUUUGGCACAUAGUCCAGAAAACCAUGGAUAGAAUUCAGGCAUCCAUGAACCUGGAUAGGAAAGCAAUUGCGUCAUAUUUUCACCAGUUUUUAGCUGUAAUUCAGCAUUUUCUUCCAUUAUAAUUGGAGGCAACAAACACGGUAACCUAUGACUUUAUCACCAAGAGAAACUUCAGAUAUUACAGUUGGUGCUUAUUUUUGGAACAUUAUUCAUACUUAUCACUUAGGUGAAUUUUGGUGGCUAUAGGGCCUGCUGCAGGGUUCUGUUAUUUAAUAUGGUAAUAAAUAAGCACAUGAAUUAUUUUGUCAUGGUUAAAGAAUUAUUUUGAUAACGUGCUUCAAUAUAAUUGGCUGCCUGUCAAAUUGUG
Molecule: long non-coding RNA, 1498 nt
Filed under: Homo sapiens (human)
Lineage: Eukaryota; Metazoa; Chordata; Mammalia; Primates; Hominidae
Description: HSALNT0207509
Source: RNAcentral